GAUGAACGCUAGCGGCAGGCCUAACACAUGCAAGUCGAGGGGUAACUAGAGCGAUAGCAAUAUUACUUUGGCCAGACCGGCGCACGGGUGCGUAACACGUAUGCAACCUACCUUAUACUGGGGAAUAACUUCGAGAAAUCGGCGCUAAUACCCCAUAACACUGCGGAGAGGCAUCUCUUUGCAGUUAAAGCUCCGGCGGUAUAAGAUGGGCAUGCGUCCAAUCAGCUAGUUGGUGAGGUAACGGCUCACCAAGGCUACGAUUGGUAGGGGUUCUGAGAGGAUGAUCCCCCACACUGGUACUGAGACACGGACCGGACUCCUACGGGAGGCAGCAGUGAGGAAUAUUGCGCAAUGGACGAAAGUCUGACGCAGCCAUGCCGCAUGUAGGAUGACGGCCCUAUGGGUUGUAAACUGCUUUUGUACGGGAAUAAACCCUUCUACGUGUAGGAGGCUGAAGGUACCGUAAGAAUAAGCACCGGCUAACUCCGUGCCAGCAGCCGCGGUAA
This 506-nucleotide ribosomal RNA is filed under the name uncultured bacterium. Its description in RNAcentral is "partial 16S ribosomal RNA". It matches the Rfam family "Bacterial small subunit ribosomal RNA", at positions 28 to 523 of the family's 1533-position model. The record is from RNAcentral.